GUGCUGGCUUCGGCAGCACAUAUACUAAAACUGGAACUAUACAGAGCAGAUUAUCAUGGCGCCUGCGCAAGGAUGACAUGCAAAUUAAUGAAGCGUUUCAUAUUUUU
Molecule: small nuclear RNA, 107 nt
Organism: Psammomys obesus (fat sand rat)
Lineage: Eukaryota; Metazoa; Chordata; Mammalia; Rodentia; Muridae
Source: RefSeq, a predicted model, not a curated record